This is a long non-coding RNA of Acyrthosiphon pisum (pea aphid), 510 nucleotides long. RefSeq lists it as uncharacterized. The record is from RefSeq and is a predicted model, not a curated record. The transcript has 3 exons. NCBI's taxonomy places the organism in Eukaryota, Metazoa, Arthropoda, Insecta, Hemiptera, Aphididae.
AAAAUAUUAACAAACAUUCAUAGUUCAUAAAAAUAAUUAUUAGUAAUUCAAAUGUUCAAUUACAAUAUCUAAUUGGUAAACAAUUUCUUGCAUAGAUACAUGUAAAUAGUUAUAAUAAAAUGUCAAUAUUCAAAUUGAGUCCAGUGCAUUCUUGCGAUAUUCAUAUUUAUAUUUAUUCCUGCAUGAAGACAAUAACAGUAAGCCCAAGAUUCAAUACAUGUACCAUAAUUAUUAACAAAAUAAUUAGAAAAAUCAACAGUGUCAUCAUUAGCUGACAAUAUUGGUUUAUAGCUUCUUCAAAAAUUAUUUCAAAGGCUUUUGGAUCUUGUUCAUGAAGUAAAGUCCUCAAAAGUUUGCACGAUCAACAUAGAUUAUAUAUGUUUUGGACGUUUCAUUUCAACAAUCCAUGCAUUGGAAAAACUUUCAGCCAUAUCGGACAUAAAUACAUUGGGUUGCAAUUGUCCUGUUAAUGAUUUUAUUUUAGAAUAAAAUAUUGUCAGUACUGCUUCA